UGGGGAAUUUUGGACAAUGGGCGCAAGCCUGAUCCAGCCAUGCCGCGUGCGGGAAGAAGGCCUUCGGGUUGUAAACCGCUUUUGUCAGGGAAGAAAUCUUCUGAGUUAAUACCUCGGGAGGAUGACGGUACCUGAAGAAUAAGCACCGGCUAACUACGUGCCAGCAGCCGCGGUAAUACGUAGGGUGCAAGCGUUAAUCGGAAUUACUGGGCGUAAAGCGUGCGCAGGCGGUUUUGUAAGACAGAGGUGAAAUCCCCGGGCUCAACCUGGGAACUGCCUUUGUGACUGCAAGGCUUGAGUGCGGCAGAGGGGGAUGGAAUUCCGCGUGUAGCAGUGAAAUGCGUAGAUAUGCGGAGGAAACACCGAUGGCGAAGGCAAUCCCCCUGGGCCUGCACUGACGCUCAUGCACGAAAGCGUGGGGAGCAAACAGGAUUAGAUACCCUGGUAGUCCACGCCCUAAACGAUGUCAACUGGUUGUUGGGAAGGUUCCUUCUCAGUAACGUAGCUAACGCGUGAAGUUGACCGCCUGGGGAGUACGGCCGCAAGGUUGAAACUUAAAGGAAUUGACGGGGGC
This 574-nucleotide ribosomal RNA is filed under the name uncultured bacterium. Its description in RNAcentral is "partial 16S ribosomal RNA". It matches the Rfam family "Bacterial small subunit ribosomal RNA", at positions 355 to 920 of the family's 1533-position model. The record is from RNAcentral.